Ovis aries (sheep) is the source of this 72-nucleotide transfer RNA. It matches the Rfam family "tRNA". From Rfam's summary of the family: Transfer RNA (tRNA) molecules are approximately 80 nucleotides in length. Their secondary structure includes four short double-helical elements and three loops (D, anti-codon, and T loops). The record is from Rfam. Lineage: Eukaryota; Metazoa; Chordata; Mammalia; Artiodactyla; Bovidae.
UCCCUGGUGGCUCAGAUGAUAAAGCGCCUGUCUACAAUGCAGGAGACCUGGGUUCAAUCCCUGGGUCGGGAA